UCUACGGGAGGCAGCAGUGGGGAAUAUUGGGCAAUGGGCGCAAGCCUGACCCAGCAACGCCGCGUGAAGGAAGAAGGCUUUCGGGUUGUAAACUUCUUUUCUCAGGGACGAAACAAGUGACGGUACCUGAUGAAUAAGCCACGGCUAACUACGUGCCAGCAGCCGCGGUAAUACGUAGGUGGCAAGCGUUAUCCGGAUUUACUGGGUUUAAAGGGCGUGUAGGCGGGGACGCAAGUCAGAUGUGAAAUCCACGGGCUCAACCUGUGGACUGCAUUUGAAACUGUGUUUCUUGAGUACUGGAGAGGCAGACGGAAUUCCUGGUGUAGCGGUGAAAUGCGUAGAUAUUAGGAGGAACCCCGGUGGCGAAGGCGGUCUGCUGAACAGCAACUGACGCUGAGGCGCGAAAGCGUGGGGAGCAAACAGGAUUAGAUACCCUUGUAGUC
RNAcentral lists this ribosomal RNA (443 nucleotides) under uncultured bacterium. RNAcentral describes it as "partial 16S ribosomal RNA". It matches the Rfam family "Bacterial small subunit ribosomal RNA", at positions 338 to 795 of the family's 1533-position model. The record is from RNAcentral.